GACGAACGCUGGCGGCGUGCUUAACACGUGCAAGUCGAACGGAAAGGCCCUGCUUUUGUGGGGUGCUCGAGUGGCGCACGGGUGAGUAACACGUGAGUAACCUGCCCUUGACUUUGGGAUAACUUCAGGAAACUGGGGCUAAUACCGGAUAGGAGCUCCUGCUGCAUGGUGGGGGUUGGAAAGUUUCGGCGGUUGGGGAUGUACUCGCGGCUUAUCAGCUUGUUGGUGGGGUAGUUGCUUACCAAGGCUUUGACGGGUAGCCGGCCUGAGAGGGUGACCGGCCACAAGGGGACUGAGAGACGGCCCAGACGCGUACGGGAGGCAGCAGUGGGGAAUAUGACACAAUGAGCGGAAGCCUGAUGCAGAAACGCUGCGUGCGGGAAGACGGCCUUCGGGUUGUAAACCGCUGUCGCCUGUGACGAAGCGGGAGUGACGGUAAUGGGUAAAGAAGCACCGGCUAACUACGUG
RNAcentral lists this ribosomal RNA (468 nucleotides) under uncultured bacterium. RNAcentral describes it as "partial 16S ribosomal RNA". It matches the Rfam family "Bacterial small subunit ribosomal RNA", at positions 28 to 507 of the family's 1533-position model. The record is from RNAcentral.